UCUGACAAAGCCUUUAAAUUUGCCACUGUUUGCAUCUUCCCAGCUGUAGAUGCUUGCAGAAGUGGAGGGGAAACGCGUGGAGGCAGGAAGGAAAGGCUCUGAGAAAAGCACUUGUGAGAUCCACAUCUGCUGGCGUCGGGGAGGAGGCAGCAGAGUUAUACAAUAAUGCAGCUGUCAAGUAAAGUGAUACCAUCAGACUCCAAUUCUUCAACCUCUACAGCAGAUCCUUUCUUUCAGAAAAUAAUCCCUCUCCAGCCUGCAUUUAACUGGUACCUGCCACCAUGAACACAAGAUCAGGGCUGGGAGAUGUAUUUUCCUGUCUGAGCUGGCUCUUGGCUGGAGAUGCUGCUCCUGUGGCAAUGUGCUGGGAAAGCCAAGGCCUUGGGGAAGGAAGGAAAUGAGAGGUGCUGGGGACGUGGGUGCAGCUUAUUGGGCUGCACCACAGUGUGGCUGCAUUAUAUCAGAGGUGAGGCAAGGAGCAGUGCCUCAGCAUGGCCCUGCUGUCCUUCGGGACCACAAACAGGAGGAGGUGUGCUGGGUAAGCUGUUACCAGCUGCCCUCCUCCUGAUUUCUUCACCGGAGCUGCCCUCUGGCUAUGGCUGCACAGCCAAACCACCAGCACUGAAGCCUCAUUUUAGAGGGGCGGCAAUGUCAUAAAGUAGGCAUUGGGUCAGUGAAUGUGUGUUCAGAUGCAACCCACACAACUUUUUUUUUUUUAAUGCUUUCCUAGACAACUUUUCCACUGUGUUAGU
Cygnus olor (mute swan) is the source of this 752-nucleotide long non-coding RNA. RefSeq lists it as uncharacterized. The transcript has 3 exons. The record is from RefSeq and is a predicted model, not a curated record. NCBI's taxonomy places the organism in Eukaryota, Metazoa, Chordata, Aves, Anseriformes, Anatidae.